GAUGAAGAACUUAGCGAAAUGCGAUAAGUAAUGUGAAUUGCAGAAUUCAGUGAAUCAUCGAAUCUUUGAACGCACAUUGCGCCCCUUGGUAUUCCGAGGGGCAUGCCUGUUCGAGCGUCAUUAUAACCCCUCAAGCUCAGCUUGGUGUUGGGGCCUGCCGCACGGGCAGCCCUUAAAAUCAGUGGCGGUGCCAUCUGGCUCUAAGCGUAGUAAUUCUUCUCGCUAUAGAGUCCCGGUGGAUGCUUGCCAUUAACCCCCAAUUUUCUAUGGUUGACCUCGGAUCAGGUAGGGAUACCCGCUGAACUUAAGCAUAUCAAUAAGCGGAGGA
This 328-nucleotide unclassified non-coding RNA is filed under the name soil metagenome. RNAcentral describes it as "partial contains 5.8S ribosomal RNA, internal transcribed spacer 2, and large subunit ribosomal RNA". The stretch from base 1 to 120 matches the Rfam family "5.8S ribosomal RNA", at positions 35 to 154 of the family's 154-position model. The record is from RNAcentral.